GCAUUGCAUUGAUGAAUUAUGAAUUUUCGCAUGUCAGACUUCAGAGAUGCCUUUGGUGUCAAUGAGAGUAAUUUCAUAUGACUGAGCAAUGA
Molecule: non-coding RNA, 92 nt
Organism: Triticum urartu
Lineage: Eukaryota; Viridiplantae; Streptophyta; Magnoliopsida; Poales; Poaceae
Source: Rfam